Molecule: long non-coding RNA, 2070 nt
Organism: Ostrea edulis (European flat oyster)
Lineage: Eukaryota; Metazoa; Mollusca; Bivalvia; Ostreida; Ostreidae
Exons: 3
Source: RefSeq, a predicted model, not a curated record
CACACAUUUUUGACUUGUACCUUGCAUCUUUUUUAUUUAAAACAUCAACAAAUUUGCAACAACUUUCUCUGUAGAAAAUUGUGAUAAAUUUUCAACGGUUUCCGAGGGGUAAAAUCAAUGUUACCCACAACUACAUACACUAUUUUGUAUUCCACUCAAUGUCAUACAUUGAAUAGGUAUAUGUUAAUAAAAGCAAAUCAUUGAGGUUUGAGAAAGUUGAACAAGAGAAAGGUUUCAAUUCUGACAUCACGGUAUAAUGACGCAAAAACAUCAAGUCAAACGUAAAAAUUUCGUAUUGUAUUUCCAAAUAAAAACGUAAAAAUCAAGUUAAAUGCAAAAUUGCAUUAGAAUGGAAAUAUUUUUCAUCUCAAUUGUUAUUUGUGACCGUUAAUGUUGAUGGUGAAGUUAAUGAUUAACAAUCCUGCAUAUUUCCAAUCGUUUUUAUAGAGCUUUCGCGCUUGUGCCAUUAGAAUUUCUCUUCUAAAACGGUCGUCCUGCACAUAAGGGAUACAUCACGGAUUGUCAUCCUUCAUGUGACCAGCCGUCGACCAUUGAAAUUGAUUGUAUUAUUCUUAAGAAUAAUAAUAUCUAAUGUUCAACUAAAAAAAGAUGAUGUAUGUUAUAUACACCACAAUAUAUGUGCCGAUUCUUUAAACCAUAAUUUCAUAUCUUUCAAAUUAUCAUUUUAUUAUUCUUUAUUCUAAUAUUAUAACCACUGAUAUUCAACUGCAAAGUCUUCAAGAUGAGAAGGAAUAAGAAGCAUUCAUCGAGAAAACAGAAUCAGAAAACCCAAGUGUUGUGCCAGGAAUGGAUAUGAUCAAUCUUGCAAACAUUGCACGUCAGCUGAGUGAUGAAGAAGAUCAAUCUCGCAAACAUUGCACGUCAGCUGAAUGAUGAAGAAGAUCAAUCUCGCAAACAUUGCACGUCAGCUGAGUGAUGAAGAAGAUCAAUCUCGCAAACAUUGCACGUCAGCUGAGUGAUGAAGAAGAUCAAUCUCGCAAACAUUACACGUCAGCUGAAUGAUGAAGAAGAUCAAUCUCGCAAACAUUGCACGUCAGCUGAGUGAUGAGGAAGCACGAAUUUUUGGGAAGAACCUAGGUCUACCGAACGAAGAUAUUGAAAAGUACAUGAGUAUGGCAUUUGGCGCUGUGUGGAUGCUCAGACGAUAUCGCGGUAAACGCCCACAUUUCUCCCAGAAAAACAACAUUAGAAGAGUGCAAGAGGCCAUUGAUCGUCAGGAUCUUGUGCAUCUGAUUCCCACCAGAGGAUGGAAAGAAUAUUACAUGGUACCCAAGGCUGUGGUAACAAAUGAGAGAUUUUAUAUCCCUGAUGAUGCAAAGGAUGACGACGGCACUGAACAUGAAAAAUAUCCUUCUGAAACACCGGUCAUGGACACAAGUGACGUAAAUUCCAAUGUUGAAGUGAUUGCCAGCGAUGAAGAAUAGUAAAAAAUCCAUAAGUUAGAAUAAUACAAUGCGAAUCCUCUACAAAAUGAAAGUUUGAAUAGCAAGGAGUGUGGAUGCAAAUGAAUUAGUAUUAUAUUUCAGCAUAUCCAUGCAUCUGUUAUUUACACUUAUUACUUUUAAUGAUCACUGUCAUGAUCGUGUGCAGGAUUGGACAAAACAAGAUGGCAGACGGCAUUUCCAAACAAAGGUAUCAAGCCCUAGAACUUCAUUCCAUGAGAUGGGUACACUUCGAAUGUGCGAAAUUUGUGGUGAGGAAUUCAAGACCAAUUCUGAAUUUCGUAGGCAUGUAAAAAGGAAACAUCAAUCAGAGAAAUUGUCUUCGUUUGUGACCAGUGCAACACAGGCUUUUGCACAUUAUAAAAGAAACAUGAAGUAAAAAAAAUUACAUUGUUUUCUGAAUACACGAAGUGCAUACAUAUACCAUGGCAGCCGUUUUAUAUAUCCGUUUAUGUGCAUUAUGAAACGAUUAUUUUUACGGCAUUAUGCUUUGUUUUACAGGGAUACUACUAAUCUUUUACAUUGCAUUUUACACAUGUUGAUUUGUUAUUUCAUUGAACCAGAAGUGUUCUUAAUUUUUACUUGUUAUUAAAUAUAUUUCAAUGUU